RNAcentral lists this ribosomal RNA (445 nucleotides) under Micrococcus luteus. RNAcentral describes it as "bacterial SSU rRNA". It matches the Rfam family "Bacterial small subunit ribosomal RNA", at positions 24 to 482 of the family's 1533-position model. Lineage: Bacteria; Bacillati; Actinomycetota; Actinomycetes; Micrococcales; Micrococcaceae. The record is from RNAcentral.
UCAGGAUGAACGCUGGCGGCGUGCUUAACACAUGCAAGUCGAACGAUGAAGCCCAGCUUGCUGGGUGGAUUAGUGGCGAACGGGUGAGUAACACGUGAGUAACCUGCCCUUAACUCUGGGAUAAGCCUGGGAAACUGGGUCUAAUACCGGAUAGGAGCGUCCACCGCAUGGUGGGUGUUGGAAAGAUUUAUCGGUUUUGGAUGGACUCGCGGCCUAUCAGCUUGUUGGUGAGGUAAUGGCUCACCAAGGCGACGACGGGUAGCCGGCCUGAGAGGGUGACCGGCCACACUGGGACUGAGACACGGCCCAGACUCCUACGGGAGGCAGCAGUGGGGAAUAUUGCACAAUGGGCGCAAGCCUGAUGCAGCGACGCCGCGUGAGGGAUGACGGCCUUCGGGUUGUAAACCUCUUUCAGUAGGGAAGAAGCGAAAGUGACGGUACCUCA